GGCGCAAGCGUGAUGCAGCCAUGCCGCGUGAGUGAUGCAGGCCUUAGGGUUGUGAAGCUCUGUCACGGCUCUCCAUAAUGACGGUAGUCGGAGAAGAAGCCCCGGCUAAAAUGGGGCCAGCAGCCGCGGUAAUACGAAGGGGGCUAGCGUUGUUCGGAAUUACUGGGCGUAAAGCGCACGUAGGCGGAUAUUUAAGUCAGGGGUGAAAUCCCGCAUCUCAACUGCGGAACUGCCUUUGAUACUGGGUAUCUUGAGUAUGGAAGAGGUAAGUGGAAUUCCGAGUGUAGAGGUGAAAUUCGUAAAUAUUCGGAGGAACACCAGUGGCGAAGGCGGCUUACUGGUCCAUUACUGACGCUGAGGUGCGAAAAGCGUGGGGAGCAAACAGGAUUAGAUACCCUGGUAGUCCACGCCGUAAACGUUUAAUGUUAGCCGACGGGCACUAUACUGUUCGGUGGCGCACCUAACGCAUUAAACAUUCCGCCUGGGGAGUACGGUCGCAAGAUUAAAACUCAAAGGAAUUGACGGGG
RNAcentral lists this ribosomal RNA (527 nucleotides) under Agrobacterium pusense. Its description in RNAcentral is "bacterial SSU rRNA". It matches the Rfam family "Bacterial small subunit ribosomal RNA", at positions 374 to 918 of the family's 1533-position model. Lineage: Bacteria; Pseudomonadati; Pseudomonadota; Alphaproteobacteria; Hyphomicrobiales; Rhizobiaceae. The record is from RNAcentral.